UCCAGACUCCUACGGGAGGCAGCAGUGGGGAAUAUUGCACAAUGGGGGAAACCCUGAUGCAGCGACGCCGCGUGAGUGAAGAAGUAUUUCGGUAUGUAAAGCUCUAUCAGCAGGGAAGAACAUGACGGUACCUGACUAAGAAGCCCCGGCUAACCACGUGCCAGCAGCCGCGGUAAUACGUAGGGGGCAAGCGUUAUCCGGAUUUACUGGGUGUAAAGGGAGCGUAGACGGCAGUGCAAGCCUGGAGUGAAAGGAUGGGGCCCAACCCCAUGACUGCUCUGGGAACUGUACAGCUAGAGUGCCGGAGGGGUAAGCGGAAUUCCUAGUGUAGCGGUGAAAUGCGUAGAUAUUAGGAGGAACACCAGUGGCGAAGGCGGCUUACUGGACGGUAACUGACGUUGAGGCUCGAAAGCGCGGGGAGCAAACAGGAUUAGAUACCCUUGUA
This 445-nucleotide ribosomal RNA is filed under the name uncultured bacterium. RNAcentral's name for it is "bacterial SSU rRNA". It matches the Rfam family "Bacterial small subunit ribosomal RNA", at positions 330 to 792 of the family's 1533-position model. The record is from RNAcentral.